AUUGAACGCUGGCGGCAGGCCUAACACAUGCAAGUCGAGCGGAUGAAGGGAGCUUGCUCCUGGAUUCAGCGGCGGACGGGUGAGUAAUGCCUAGGAAUCUGCCUGGUAGUGGGGGAUAACGUCCGGAAACGGGCGCUAAUACCGCAUACGUCCUGAGGGAGAAAGUGGGGGAUCUUCGGACCUCACGCUAUCAGAUGAGCCUAGGUCGGAUUAGCUAGUUGGUGGGGUAAAGGCCUACCAAGGCGACGAUCCGUAACUGGUCUGAGAGGAUGAUCAGUCACACUGGAACUGAGACACGGUCCAGACUCCUACGGGAGGCAGCAGUGGGGAAACUUGGCCGAUGGGCGCGCGCCUGCUCCCGCCAUGCCGCGUGUGUGAAGAAGGUCUUCGGAUUGUAAAGCACUUUAAGUUGGGAGGAAGGGCAGUAAGUUAAUACCUUGCUGUUUUGACGUUACCAUCAGAAUAAGCACCGGCUCCCUUCGUG
RNAcentral lists this ribosomal RNA (484 nucleotides) under uncultured bacterium. Its description in RNAcentral is "partial 16S ribosomal RNA". It matches the Rfam family "Bacterial small subunit ribosomal RNA", at positions 30 to 507 of the family's 1533-position model. The record is from RNAcentral.